RNAcentral lists this ribosomal RNA (337 nucleotides) under Coptoprepes flavopilosus. RNAcentral describes it as "partial 16S ribosomal RNA". The record is from RNAcentral. Lineage: Eukaryota; Metazoa; Arthropoda; Arachnida; Araneae; Anyphaenidae.
UUGUGCUAAGGUAGCAUAAUCAUUUGUCUUUUAAUUAAAGACUAGAACAAAAGAUUUAACAUUUUAAUUAAUAUAUCAAAAUUAAUCAAUUAAAUUUAUUUUAAAUGUAAAAAAACAUUUAUAAAUUAGGAAGACGAUAAGACCCUAUUAAACUUAACUUUAGUUUAACUGGGGCAGUUAAUUAAUUAUUAUUUUAAUUUAAAAACAAAAAUAAAUAGAUCCUAUAAAAUAGAUCAAAUGAUCAAGUUACUAUAGGGAUAACAGCGUAAUAUUAAUUUAAAGAUCUCAUUAAAAUAAAAGAUUACGACCUCGAUGUUGAAUUAAUAACCUAUUGCAA